UACGUAGGGGGCGAGCGUUGUCCGGAAUCAUUGGGCGUAAAGAGCGUGUAGGUGGCUUGGAAAGUCUUACGUGAAAGCCUGCGGCUCAACCGCAGAAGUGCGUAGGAAACUUCCUCGCUAGAGUCCGGAAGAGGAGAGCGGAAUUCCUGGUGUAGCGGUGGAAUGCGCAGAUAUCAGGAGGAACACCGGUGGCGAAGGCGGGUCUCUGGGCCGAUACUGACGCUGAGGAGCGAAAGCGUGGGGAGCGAACAGG
This 253-nucleotide ribosomal RNA is filed under the name uncultured bacterium. RNAcentral's name for it is "partial 16S ribosomal RNA". It matches the Rfam family "Bacterial small subunit ribosomal RNA", at positions 524 to 776 of the family's 1533-position model. The record is from RNAcentral.